GACAGCAGUCGCCACGGGAAUACGGAGGGUGCAAGCGUUAAUCGGAAUUACUGGGCGUAAAGCGCACGCAGGCGGUCUGACAAGUCAGAUGUGAAAUCCCCGGGCUUAACCUGGGAACUGCAUUUGAAACUGUCAGGCUGGAGUCUUGUAGAGGGGGGUGGAAUUCCAGGUGUAGCGGUGAAAUGCGUAGAGAUCUGGAGGAAUACCGGUGGCGAAGGCGGCCCCCUGGACAAAGACUGACGCUCAGGUGCGAAAGCGUGGGGAGCAAACAGGAUUAGAUACCCGGGUAGUCCCUGUCUCUUAUAU
RNAcentral lists this ribosomal RNA (306 nucleotides) under uncultured bacterium. Its description in RNAcentral is "partial 16S ribosomal RNA". It matches the Rfam family "Bacterial small subunit ribosomal RNA", at positions 507 to 809 of the family's 1533-position model. The record is from RNAcentral.